This is a non-coding RNA of Vicugna pacos (alpaca), 1895 nucleotides long. Lineage: Eukaryota; Metazoa; Chordata; Mammalia; Artiodactyla; Camelidae. The record is from RefSeq and is a predicted model, not a curated record.
AAAAUACAAAGAAUAUAAACAGCAGCAUAGAAAGGAAAGGAAGUAUGUUUAAAAUAUAGAGAAGGCAACAUCUAAUCUUUAGAUCAUAUUGAAAGUUUUAUUUAAAUUAUUAUUUCCUAAUAGAUGGCUGUACAUUCCCAUUUACAUAACAUCAGCUUUUGGGUUUGUGAGUUCAUUCAAAUUUACAUUCAAACAUUACAUGUUCUACAGUUGUGGCUGAGAACUAUAAUCAAAGAAGAAGUAAAGCUUUUCCACUGAAAUAGUUAUUGGAGGAAUUGAUGAUUCCUGUGACUCUCAUUUGAAGUUAAUAAGUCAUAGGGACAUAUUUUCAAAGUCUUAAACUCCAAAUCACCUGGCUAAGCCACAAAGCUGAAACAGCCAACUGAAUGCCUGGGGCUGGCUGAGGCAUGGCUGGGAAGUCACUCUACAGAGGACUUGCUCCUGACUCUGUGCUGUCUCAGGAUUGCGGCGGCAGGGAUGGAGUGUCUGACCAGGGCUGAAGCAGACGUUGUGUUGCUGGUGGACGGAUCGUGGAGCCUCAGCUGGGCAAACUUCAGAACUGUGCGGAGUCUCAUUUCUCACAUUGUGGAAGUUUGCGAUUGGCCCCAAAAGGGUGCAGGUUGGUAGGUCUGACACUAUUGAAGACGUUUAGACAUUUCCAUCAUGCUCUUUGAUAUAUGCUAACGCCAAUAGUGUCUUUUUAGCUCAGUAUAGUGGGGACCCCAGAACAGAGUGGCAGUUAAACGCUCACAGAGACAAGAAGAGCUUGUUGCAAUCCAUGGUGAACUUACUUUACAAAGGCGCAGUACCCUCACAGGUGAGACAGAGUGGUCUGGCGUGCUUGGAGCUCUUGCUUUUGGUCAAAGCUUGUGGCUGAAUAAUAGUGUGCCAGAUGCUCUUUUAAAAAUUCCACUAGGCAUGGCUUUGAACUUUAUUUGCUAAUAGAGCUUCAAGACCCAAGCUGGCAUGAGGCCUCGAGCUCAAAAAAUUGGUGUUUUCAUCAGCGAUGGAAAAACCCCAAGAUGAUGUUGAGGCAAAGAAACUCAAGGAUGAAGGCAUGGAGCUGUUUGCUAUUGAUAUUAAAAAUGCUGACAAAGCUGAGUUAAAGAUGAUUGCAGCAGAUCCUGAUGGUACCCACGCAUACAGUGUGGCAGAUUUUGAGUCCUCUCCAGGAUCCUGGAUGACCUCACCAUCAACUUGUGGGGAGAUCCCGGUGACUUGAAAGCACCUUCUAACCUAGUCAUUGCUGAGCAAACCCAUCGUCUUUGAGAGUGAGCUGGAUACCUCCUUCUGACAGCAUGGACAGGUACGAAGUGGAGUCCUACCCAGGUUCUGAAGGGAAACGGCAAGAAGUGAGUGGACGCCCCCUACAGCCCCUCCUUCCCGGUCCAGAGAUCGGGUCCUCUUCCUUAGGACUCCAAGAACAGUGCUGGGUGAGGAGCAAGAGGGAUGGAGAGGGGGCCGAACUGAGUUGAGGGUGCUUUCCAUUUCUUGCUAGGCAGGCACUUCUAUUUGGGCUUCAUUAGUGGGAAAGAGCUUGGCUUAAAUUCUUGAAAUUUCUAAAGAUUGCAGAACAGCAAUGCAAUUUUUAAUUAAAAUUUUAUUAGAGGAUGCUUAAUUUAUUCAUGUGUUUAUACAAGAGUCAUAAGGAAGAGAACAUUGAAGAUGAUCUAGUUUUACUGAUACAUUUUACACAUAAGGAAACAGAACAGCAGCUGGGAGAAUAAAUUGUGUGAAAUGUCCAAGAUCUCACUGUAAUCUGGUGGUUACCAAAAACAAAAGACAAGGGCCUCAUUAAAAUCUAAUUUCUAAGCUCAUUGCAGUAACUACUACAAUGCGAUUAUAGUAGAAAAGAGGGAAGUGAUGAUAACAUAAGUUGCUUCUACUUUUUAACU